CCCAUAGUCAAACUAUAAAAUUACUAAAAUGCCAUUGGUCAAGCUAUUAAAUAACUAAAACACCCCUAACAAUGCACUGUAUUGUUCACUCGAUGUGUGAGCCUAGCGCACCGCCAUUAUGUAUGGUCCAGUAACGAUCCUGAGAGGAUGGUGGCUUGUUGAGCAACUCUCCAGGUAGAUCUCGAUCUCGUUCAUCCACUAAUUGUAGCAGUGUAUCUCACAAUUAACUAGGGAGGGAGAUCAACGAUAAAGAAGGCUCGAGUGAACUGAACGAUUCUCUUCCCUUUUCUAGCCUUUAACAAUGGUGUUGAUGAUGAGGACUAGUCGAGUUUUGAUCGGGGGAGGCUGACUCUCCUUUCUAUGGUGGUUUCAAGGCGUUUGAUGGUUGGACAUCGGAGAUAUGGUGGCUAGAAUCACCGUCAGCGGCUGAUGGUGUUGGGCUUCAGUGUUGACAAGGGUAAUCAUAUAUAUAUAUAUAUAUAAGGGGGUGGGUAAAGUUAAAAUCAGUAUAAAAAGGUUGUUUUCACCGCUAAAAAAAAAAAAAAAAAAAAAACGACCGCCAAAAAUUUCCUUUCUAGACUAUGGUUAAAAUCGCUUUAGCCAUGAAAUGAUGAAUUUGCCUCCGGUAAAUAAUUUUUUAAUGUGCUGCCACUUGAAGAGCCUGCUGCUUUCCUGAAUUCUAAUGAUGUAUCAAAGUUGAUUAAUAGUUGUUCUAAACCCAUAUUCCAGGCACAAAACAUUUGCUGAAUUUGGUCUCCUUUCUUGGCAGAAGCUUCUGCAAAUAUGCAUAAAAUGCAAAUAGUAAGAGGAAAUGGAGGGAGCCCUGCAAAAAGUUUUGAUUGCAUGUAUAUAUGUUUGUAGUUAGCUUAAAAUCAAGCAGUCAAUGAACCCUGCAAGUGUUGC
This 903-nucleotide long non-coding RNA is filed under the name Populus trichocarpa (black cottonwood). RNAcentral's name for it is "long non-coding RNA (PTRI_LNC003800)". The record is from RNAcentral. Lineage: Eukaryota; Viridiplantae; Streptophyta; Magnoliopsida; Malpighiales; Salicaceae.